CGAGCACCUCUUACACACCUUACACACACAUACCCCACCUCACAGACCACACGCACGUGCACACACGCCACACAUACACCUCACACAGGACACAGACACGCAACACACACAUGCAAGAUAGCAAACAUACCACAAACACACCCCUCACACACACCCCUCACACACACCCCUCACACACACCUCUAACACACACACCCCUCACACACACCCCUCACACACACCCCUCACACACACCCCUAACACACACACCCCUCACACACACCCCUCACACACACCCCUCACACACACCCCUCACACACACCUCACACACACCCUCACACACACCCCUCACACACACCCCUUACACCCCUCACACACACCUCACACACACCCUCACACACACCCCUCACACACACCCCUCACACACACCUCACACACACCCUCACACACACCCCUCACACACACCCCUUACACCCCUCACACACACCUCACACACACCCUCACACCCCGCACACACACCCCUCACACCCCUCACACACACCCCUCACAUACACACCCCUCACACACACCCCUCACACACACCCCUCACACACACCCCUCACACACACCUCACACACACCCUCACACACACCCCUCACACACACCCCUCACACACACCCCUUACACCCCUCACACACGUCUCACACACACCCCUCACACACACCCCUCACACACACCUCACACACACCCUCACACACACCCUCACACCCCUCACACACACCCCUCACACACCCCUCACACACACCCCUCACACACACCCCUCCCACACACCCCUCACACACACCCCUCACACACACCUCACACACACCCUCACACCCCUCACACACACCCCUCACACACCCCUCACACACACCCCUCAUACACACCCCUCACACACACCCCUUACACCCCUCACACACACCUCACACACACCCUCACACACACCCCUCACACACACCCCUCACACACACCCCUCACACCCCGCACACACACCCCUCACACCCCUCACACCACACCCCUCACACACACACCCCUCACACACACCCCUCACACACGCACCCCUCACACGCACCCCUCACACGCACCCCUCACACACACACCCCUCACACACACCCCUCACACACACCCCUCACACACCCCUCACACACACCCCUCACACACACCCCUCACACACACCUCACACACACACCUCACACACACCCCUCACACACACACCCCUCACACACACCCCUCACACACACACCCCUCACACCCCUCACACACACACCCCUCACACACACCCCUCACACACACACCCCUCACACACACCCCUCACACACACCCCUCACACACACCCCUCACACACCCCUCACACACACCCCUCACACACACCCCUUACACACACCCUCACACACCCCUCACACACACCCCUCACACACACACCCCUCACACCCCUCACACACACCCCUCACACACACACCCCUCACACACACACUUCACACCCCUCACACACACCCCUCACACACACCCCUCACACACAUACCUCACACACACCUCACACACACCCCUCACACACACACCUCACACCCCUCACACACACACCCCUCACACACACCCCUCACACACACCCCUCACACACACACCCCUCACACCCCUCACACACACACCCCUCACACACACACUUCACACCCCUCACACACACCCCUCACACACACCCCUCACACACAUACUCACACACCCCUCACACACACCCCUCACACACACCCCUCACACACACCCCUCACACACAUACCUCACACACACCUCACACACACCCCUCACACACACACCUCCACACCCUCACACACACACCCCUCACACACACACCCCUCACACACACCCCUCACACACCCCUCACACACACACCUACACACUCCCCAUAGACACUACAACUGCACAUACUGCACAAUCUCACAAGCCACAAACACCUUAUACACACCACACACACACACGCCACACACCUCAUACCACGCACCCCUCACAUGCACACCACGCACCCCUUGGACACCUCACACACUCCGCACACUCUCUCGCCUUCAUGUUAAAAAGCAUUUGCUUUUGCCUCAUUGCUUCCACACUG
Molecule: long non-coding RNA, 2095 nt
Filed under: Bos indicus x Bos taurus (hybrid cattle)
Lineage: Eukaryota; Metazoa; Chordata; Mammalia; Artiodactyla; Bovidae
Description: lncRNA (ENSBIXG00000012833.1)
Source: RNAcentral